CCCUUAGACGUUCUGGGCCGCACGCGCGCUACACUGACCAGUGCAACAAGCAUCCGUCCUUGGCCGACAGGCCCGGGCAAUCUUUGAACGCUGGUCAUGAUGGGGAUAGACUUUUGCAAUUUUUGGUCUUCAACGAGGAAUUCCUAGUAAACGCAAGUCAUCAACUUGCAUUGAUUACGUCCCUGCCCUUUGUACACACCGCCCGUCGCACCUACCGAUUGAAUGGUCCGGUGAAGCCUCCGGAUUGGCGCGCACCUCGGUGCCGCCGAGAAGUUGGCUAAACCUUACCAUUUAGAGGAAGGUGAAGUCGUAACA
Molecule: ribosomal RNA, 315 nt
Filed under: uncultured eukaryote
Lineage: Eukaryota
Description: partial 18S ribosomal RNA
Rfam family: Eukaryotic small subunit ribosomal RNA
Source: RNAcentral